AGGAUGUGUCUCUAGUGCAUGUCUUCAACAUAGACACAUGAAAAACAUGAUGAACGACGGCUAAUUCUAAUGAGAGAUCUAACUCAUAAGCGACAUCUCUAACACACUUUAAGGUCUCGUAUUAACCAAUGUACCGGGGACUGAGUUUUUUUUUCCUUCCAAACUGAAAUACCCAAUUACCUACAACGAACUUUAGUUCUUUCCUCCUCACAUCUGCAUGCG
Molecule: long non-coding RNA, 222 nt
Filed under: Capsicum annuum
Lineage: Eukaryota; Viridiplantae; Streptophyta; Magnoliopsida; Solanales; Solanaceae
Description: long non-coding RNA (CANN_LNC011171)
Source: RNAcentral